GCAAGUCGAACGGAGAGCUAAUGACAGAGGAUUCGUCCAAUGGAAUUAGUUUCUUAGUGGCGGACGGGUGAGUAACGCGUGAGGAACCUGCCUCGGAGUGGGGAAUAACACAGUGAAAAUUGUGCUAAUACCGCAUGAUGCAGUUGAGUCGCAUGGCUCUGACUGCCAAAGAUUUAUCGCUCUGAGAUGGCCUCGCGUCUGAUUAGAUAGUUGGUAGGGUAACGGCCUACCAAGUCUGCGAUCAGUAGCCGGACUGAGAGGUCGAACGGCCACAUUGGAACUGAGAUACGGUCCAGACUCCUACGGGAGGCAGCAGUGGGGAAUAUUGGGCAAUGGGCGAAAGCCUGACCCAGCGACGCCGCGUGAGGGAAGAAGGUCUUCGGAUUGUAAACCUUUGUCAACAGGGACGAAAACAAUGACGGUACCUGUGGAGGAAGCCACGGCUAACUACGUGCCAGCAGCCGCGGUAAUACGUAGGUGGCAAGCGUUGUCCGGAUUUACUGGGUGUAAAGGGCGUGUAGCCGGGAGGGCAAGUCAGAUGUGAAAUCCACGGGCUCAACUCGUGAACUGCAUUUGAAACUACUCUUCUUGAGUAUCGGAGAGGCAAUCGGAAUUCCUAGUGUAGCGGAGAAAUGCGUAGA
RNAcentral lists this ribosomal RNA (641 nucleotides) under uncultured bacterium. RNAcentral describes it as "bacterial SSU rRNA". It matches the Rfam family "Bacterial small subunit ribosomal RNA", at positions 57 to 694 of the family's 1533-position model. The record is from RNAcentral.